CAGUAGCCGCGGGAAUACAGAGGGUGCAAGCGUUAAUCGGAUUUACUGGGCGUAAAGGGCGCGUAGGUGGUUAUGUAAGUGAGAUGUGAAAUCCCCGGGCUUAACCUGGGGACUGCGCUUAAUACAGGCAGUCUAGAGUGAGGAAGAGGGUUGUGGAAUUCCCAGUGUAGAGGUGAAAUUCGUAGAUAUUGGGAAGAACACCGGUGGCGAAGGCGGCAACCUGGUCCUUGACUGACGCUGAGGCGCGAAAGCGUGGGGAGCAAACAGGAUUAGAUACCCGCGUAGUCCCUGUCUCUUAUAC
RNAcentral lists this ribosomal RNA (301 nucleotides) under uncultured bacterium. RNAcentral's name for it is "partial 16S ribosomal RNA". It matches the Rfam family "Bacterial small subunit ribosomal RNA", at positions 509 to 807 of the family's 1533-position model. The record is from RNAcentral.